GUCUUUGUGGUGUAGUGGUCAGCACGCUGAACGCGCAAUCCAGAGGUCCGUGGUUCGAUUCUCGGCGAAGGCA
Molecule: transfer RNA, 73 nt
Filed under: Stegodyphus mimosarum
Lineage: Eukaryota; Metazoa; Arthropoda; Arachnida; Araneae; Eresidae
Rfam family: tRNA
About the family: Transfer RNA (tRNA) molecules are approximately 80 nucleotides in length. Their secondary structure includes four short double-helical elements and three loops (D, anti-codon, and T loops).
Source: Rfam by way of RNAcentral